UUCCGGUUGAUCCUGCCGGACCUGACUGCUAUCGGAUUGAUACUAAGCCAUGCGAGUCUUUGUAGUAAUACAAGGCAUACGGCUCAGUAACGCGUAGUCAACCUACCCUAUGGACAAGAAUAAUCUCGGGAAACUGAGCAUAAUUCUUGAUAGAUCAUAAUGCCUGGAAUGGUUUAUGGUUAAAAUGAUUCGUCGCCAUAGGAUGGGACUGCGGCCUAUCAGCUUGUUGGUGAGGUAAUGGCCCACCAAGGCGAUUACAGGUACGGGCUCUGAGAGGAGAAGCCCGGAGAUGGGUACUGAGACAAGGACCCAGGCCCUAUGGGGCGCAGCAGGCGAGAAAACUUUGCAAUGUGCGAAAGCACGACAAGGUUAGUCCGAGUGAUUUCUGCUAAAGAGAUCUUUUGCUAGUUAUAAAACCACUAGUGAAUAAGGGGUGGGCAAGUUCUGGUGUCAGCCGCCGCGGUAAAACCAGCACCUCAAGUGGUCAGGAUGAUUAUUGGGCCUAAAGCAUCCGUAGCCGGCUCUGUAAGUUUUCGGUUAAAUCCAUACGCUCAACGUAUGGGCUGCCGAAAAUACUGCAGAGAUAGGGAGUGGGAGAGGUAGACGGUACUCGGUAGGAAGGGGUAAAAUCCUUUGAUCUAUCGAUGACCACCUGUGGCGAAGGCGGUCUACCAGAACACGUUCGACGGUGAGGGAUGAAAGCUGGGGGAGCAAACCGGAUUAGAUACCCGGGUAGUCCCAGCUGUAAACGAUGCAGACUCGAUGAUGCAUUGGCAUAUAGCCAGUGCAGUGUCGCAGGGAAGCCGUUAAGUCUGCCGCCUGGGAAGUACGUACGCAAGUAUGAAACUUAAAGGAAUUGGCGGGGGAGCACCACAAGGGGUGAAGCCUGCGGUUCAAUUGGAAUCAACGCCGGA
Molecule: ribosomal RNA, 914 nt
Filed under: uncultured archaeon
Lineage: Archaea
Description: bacterial SSU rRNA
Rfam family: Archaeal small subunit ribosomal RNA
Source: RNAcentral